This 253-nucleotide ribosomal RNA is filed under the name uncultured bacterium. RNAcentral's name for it is "partial 16S ribosomal RNA". It matches the Rfam family "Bacterial small subunit ribosomal RNA", at positions 524 to 776 of the family's 1533-position model. The record is from RNAcentral.
UACGAAGGGGGCUAGCGUUGUUCGGAAUUACUGGGCGUAAAGCGCACGUAGGCGGAUUGUUAGGUCAGGGGUGAAAUCCCGGGGCUCAACCCCGGAACUGCCUUUGAUACUGGCAUUCUCGAGUCCGGAAGAGGUGAGUGGAAUUCCGAGUGUAGAGGUGAAAUUCGUAGAUAUUCGGAGGAACACCAGUGGCGAAGGCGGCUCACUGGUCCGGAACUGACGCUGAGGUGCGAAAGCGUGGGGAGCAAACAGG